This 497-nucleotide ribosomal RNA is filed under the name uncultured bacterium. RNAcentral describes it as "partial 16S ribosomal RNA". It matches the Rfam family "Bacterial small subunit ribosomal RNA", at positions 28 to 507 of the family's 1533-position model. The record is from RNAcentral.
GAUGAACGCUGGCGGCGUGCCUAAUACAUGCAAGUCGAGCGAACAGACGAGAAGCUUGCUCCUCUGAUGUUAGCGGCGGACGGGUGAGUAACACGUGGAUAACCUACCUAUAAGACUGGGAUAACUUCGGGAAACCGUAGCUAAUACCGGAUAAUAUUUUGAACCGCAUGGUUCAAUAGUGAAAGACGGUCUUGCUGUCACUUAUAGAUGGAUCCGCGCUGCAUUAGCUAGUUGGUAAGGUAACGGCUUACCAAGGCAACGAUGCAUAGCCGACCUGAGAGGGUGAUCGGCCACACUGGAACUGAGACACGGUCCAGACUCCUACGGGAGGCAGCAGUAGGGAAUCUUCCGCAAUGGGCGAAAGCCUGACGGAGCAACGCCGCGUGAGUGAUGAAGGUCUUCGGAUCGUAAAACUCUGUUAUUAGGGAAGAACAUAUGUGUAAGUAACUGUGCACAUCUUGACGGUACCUAAUCAGAAAGCCACGGCUAACUACGUG